Long non-coding RNA from Ficedula albicollis (Collared flycatcher), 364 nucleotides. RefSeq lists it as uncharacterized. Lineage: Eukaryota; Metazoa; Chordata; Aves; Passeriformes; Muscicapidae. The transcript has 3 exons. The record is from RefSeq and is a predicted model, not a curated record.
CAGCCAUGGGUGGUUCCAGUGCUCCUAUUUGAAGCGUGUGUAAUAAAAAGCUGGAUCAUAGGGAAGAGAGCUACAUCUGGAAAAUGCACUGCGCACAAUGUCUGUGUUCUGCACUGUGAAAGCUGAGUCCAGAGACAAUUUAAAGGAAAAUAAUUGCAGAAAACAAAUAAAGCUGAAUUUAUAAAAGUCGAAGGAAUAGAAGACAUCAGGCAGCAACCUGUUGGACAGAAAUUGAAGUGUCAUCUGAAGAUCGUCUAUUACAUUUCAUUCCUUUUGCCUGUCUGAAAGAAACUGCGCAUAUAUAGCAUUUUUGGACAUUAAUUUUGAAUAACAUAGACAUAAUAGUGGUAUGCAAAAAGAAUAA